RNAcentral lists this ribosomal RNA (424 nucleotides) under uncultured cyanobacterium. RNAcentral describes it as "bacterial SSU rRNA". It matches the Rfam family "Bacterial small subunit ribosomal RNA", at positions 356 to 795 of the family's 1533-position model. Lineage: Bacteria; Bacillati; Cyanobacteriota. The record is from RNAcentral.
GGGGAAUUUUCCGCAAUGGGCGAAAGCCUGACGGAGCAAUACCGCGUGAGGGAGGAAGGCUCUUGGGUUGUAAACCUCUUUUCUCAGGGAAGAAAAAAUGACGGUACCUGAGGAAUAAGCAUCGGCUAACUCCGUGCCAGCAGCCGCGGUAAUACGGAGGAUGCAAGCGUUAUCCGGAAUGAUUGGGCGUAAAGCGUCCGCAGGUGGCAUUGAAAGUCUGCUGUUAAAGAGUCUGGCUCAACCAGAUAAAGGCAGUGGAAACUACAAAGCUAGAGUGCGUUCGGGGUAGAGGGAAUUCCUGGUGUAGCGGUGAAAUGCGUAGAGAUCAGGAAGAACACCGGUGGCGAAGGCGCUCUACUAGGCCGCAACUGACACUGAGGGACGAAAGCUAGGGGAGCGAAAGGGAUUAGAUACCCCUGUAGUC